RNAcentral lists this transfer RNA (76 nucleotides) under Ameiurus melas (black bullhead). Its description in RNAcentral is "tRNA-Glu". The record is from RNAcentral. Lineage: Eukaryota; Metazoa; Chordata; Actinopteri; Siluriformes; Ictaluridae.
UCCCUGGUUGUCUAGUGGUAAGGAUUCGGCGCUCUCACCGCCCCGCGCCCGACGGGUUCGAUUCCCGGUCAGGCAA